RNAcentral lists this microRNA precursor (200 nucleotides) under Oryza nivara. Its description in RNAcentral is "MIR812 microRNA precursor family". It matches the Rfam family "MIR812 microRNA precursor family". Lineage: Eukaryota; Viridiplantae; Streptophyta; Magnoliopsida; Poales; Poaceae. The record is from Rfam by way of RNAcentral.
AAAAAGACAAACUCUGGGUUUUUGUGUCCAACGUUUGACUGUCCAUCUUAUAUGAAAUUUUUUUAUAAUUACUAUUUUUAUUGUUGUUAGAUGAUAAAACAUGAUUAAUACUUUAUGCGUGACUUGUCUUUUUUUUAUAAUUUUUUAAAAUAAGACGGACGGUCAAACGUUGGACACGGAAAUCCAGGGUUUUUCUUUUU